Molecule: ribosomal RNA, 345 nt
Filed under: uncultured soil bacterium
Lineage: Bacteria
Description: bacterial SSU rRNA
Rfam family: Bacterial small subunit ribosomal RNA
Source: RNAcentral
AGAAUGAACGUUGGCGGCGUGGAUUAGGCAUGCAAGUCGGACGGGCCGCAAGGCCAGUGGCGUAAGGGUGAGUAAGGCGACGGCAAUCAACCCCACGGUUGGGUAUAGCCGCGAGAAAUCGCGGGUAAUCCCCAGCGACGCGAGAGGUCGGCAUCGACGUCUCGCCAAAGGCUCGCCGCCGUGGGACGAGCCGUCGUGGUAUUAGGUUGUUGGCGGGGUAACGCCCACCGAAGCCCGCGAUGCCUACCGGGUGUAGCGAGCAGUGGCCCGGCACGACUGGGACUGGAAGACACUGCCCAGACCUCCUACGGGAGCCUGCAGGUCGAGAACUCUUCGGCAAGUGGG